This 377-nucleotide ribosomal RNA is filed under the name Salmonella enterica subsp. enterica serovar Cerro. RNAcentral describes it as "bacterial SSU rRNA". It matches the Rfam family "Bacterial small subunit ribosomal RNA", at positions 1 to 374 of the family's 1533-position model. Lineage: Bacteria; Pseudomonadati; Pseudomonadota; Gammaproteobacteria; Enterobacterales; Enterobacteriaceae. The record is from RNAcentral.
AAAUUGAAGAGUUUGAUCAUGGCUCAGAUUGAACGCUGGCGGCAGGCCUAACACAUGCAAGUCGAACGGUAACAGAAAGCAGCUUGCUGCUUUGCUGACGAGUGGCGGACGGGUGAGUAAUGUCUGGGAAACUGCCUGAUGGAGGGGGAUAACUACUGGAAACGGUGGCUAAUACCGCAUAACGUCGCAAGACCAAAGAGGGGGACCUUCGGGCCUCUUGCCAUCAGAUGUGCCCAGAUGGGAUUAGCUUGUUGGUGAGGUAACGGCUCACCAAGGCGACGAUCCCUAGCUGGUCUGAGAGGAUGACCAGCCACACUGGAACUGAGACACGGUCCAGACUCCUACGGGAGGCAGCAGUGGGGAAUAUUGCACAAUGG